Molecule: ribosomal RNA, 463 nt
Filed under: uncultured bacterium
Lineage: Bacteria
Description: partial 16S ribosomal RNA
Rfam family: Bacterial small subunit ribosomal RNA
Source: RNAcentral
GACGAACGCUGGCGGCGUGCUUAACACAUGCAAGUCGAACGGAAAGGCCCCUUUGGGGGUACUCGAGUGGCGAACGGGUGAGUAACACGUGAGUAACCUGCCCUUGACUUCGGGAUAACUUCAGGAAACUGGGGCUAAUACCGGAUAGGAAUCCUUGCUGCAUGGUGGGGGUUGGAAAGCUUCGGCGGUUUUGGAUGGACUCGCGGCUUAUCAGCUUGUUGGUGGGGUAGUGGCUUACCAAGGCUUGACGGGUAGCCGGCCUGAGAGGGGGACCGGCCACAUUGGGACUGAGAUACGGCCCAGACUCCUACGGGAGGCAGCAGUGGGGAAUAUUGCACAAUGGGCGGAAGCCUGAUGCAGCAACGCCGCGUGCGGGAUGACGGCCUUCGGGUUGUAAACCGCUUUCAGCAGGGGCGAAGCUUUUGUGACGGUACCUGCAGAAGAAGCACCGGCUAACUACGUG